RNAcentral lists this ribosomal RNA (433 nucleotides) under uncultured bacterium. RNAcentral's name for it is "partial 16S ribosomal RNA". It matches the Rfam family "Bacterial small subunit ribosomal RNA", at positions 29 to 507 of the family's 1533-position model. The record is from RNAcentral.
AACGAACGCUGGCGGCAUGCCUAACACAUGCAAGUCGAACGAUCCCUUCGGGGAUAGUGGCGCACGGGUGCGUAACGCGUGGGAACCUGCCCUUAGGUUCGGAAUAACUCAGAGAAAUUUGAGCUAAUACCGGAUAAUGUCUUCGGACCAAAGAUUUAUCGCCUUUGGAUGGGCCCGCGUUGGAUUAGCUAGUUGGUGGGGUAAAGGCCUACCAAGGCGACGAUCCAUAGCUGGUCUGAGAGGAUGAUCAGCCACACUGGGACUGAGACACGGCCCAGACUCCUACGGGAGGCAGCAGUGGGGAAUAUUAGACAAUGGGCGAAAGCCUGAUCCAGCAAUGCCGCGUGAGUGAUGAAGGCCUUAGGGUUGUAAAGCUCUUUUACCCGGGACGAUAAUGACAGUACCGGGAGAAUAAGCCCCGGCUAACUCCGUG